GGGGGGGGGGGGGGGGGGGGGGGGGGGGGGGGGGGGGGGGGGGGAGGGGGGGGGCGGGCGGCUCGGACGGUAGGGGCGGGCGGGGGGGGGACACGUGGAUAAGCGACCUGUACGGGUGGGCGAACUUCGGGAAACCGGAGAGAAUACCGGAGAAGAUAUUGAGCCGCAUGGGUCAGUAGUGCACUGCGGUUUUUCUUUCACUUAUAGAUGGAUCCGCGCCGCAUUAGCUAGUUGGUAAGGUAACGGCUUACCAAGGCAACGAUGCGUAGCCGACCUGAGAGGGUGAUCGGCCACACUGGAACUGAGACACGGUCCAGACUCCUACGGGAGGCAGCAGUAGGGAAUCUUCCGCAAUGGGCGAAAGCCUGACGGAGCAACGCCGCGUGAGUGAUGAAGGUCUUCGGAUCGUAAAACUCUGUUAUUAGGGAAGAACAAAUGUGUAAGUAACUAUGCACGUCUUGACGGUACCUAAUCAGAAAGCCACGGCUAACUACGUG
RNAcentral lists this ribosomal RNA (497 nucleotides) under uncultured bacterium. Its description in RNAcentral is "partial 16S ribosomal RNA". It matches the Rfam family "Bacterial small subunit ribosomal RNA", at positions 26 to 507 of the family's 1533-position model. The record is from RNAcentral.